GACGAACGCUGGCGGCGUGCUUAACACAUGCAAGUCGAACGGAAAGGCCCUGCUUUUGUGGGGUGCUCGAGUGGCGAACGGGUGAGUAACACGUGAGUAACCUGCCCUUGACUUUGGGAUAACUUCAGGAAACUGGGGCUAAUACCGGAUAGGAGCUCCUGCUGCAUGGUGGGGGUUGGAAAGUUUCGGCGGUUGGGGAUGGACUCGCGGCUUAUCAGCUUGUUGGUGGGGUAGUGGCUUACCAAGGCUUUGACGGGUAGCCGGCCUGAGAGGGUGACCGGCCACAUUGGGACUGCGAGACGGACCAGACUCCUACGGGAGGCAGAAGUGGGGAAUAUUGCACAAUGGGCGGAAGCCUGAUGCAGCAACGCCGCGUGCGGGAUGACGGCCUUCGGGUUGUAAACCGCUUUCGCCUGUGACGAAGCGUGAGUGACGGUAAUGGGUAAAGAAGCACCGGCUAACUACGUG
This 468-nucleotide ribosomal RNA is filed under the name uncultured bacterium. Its description in RNAcentral is "partial 16S ribosomal RNA". It matches the Rfam family "Bacterial small subunit ribosomal RNA", at positions 28 to 507 of the family's 1533-position model. The record is from RNAcentral.